AGUCACUGACAUUAGAUACCCGGGUAGUCCAGGGUGUAAACGCUGCAGACUUGGUGUUCGGAAGCCCUUUGGGGCAUUCAGUGCCGGAGAGAAGUUGUUAAGUCUGCUACUUGGGGAGUACGUCCGCAAGGAUGAAACUUAAAGGAAUUGGCGGGGAGCACCGCAACGGGAGGAGCGUGCGGUUUAAUUGGAUUCAACACCGUAAACUCACCAGGGAAGACUGUUACAUGAAGGCCGAGAUGAAGACUCUGCUAGAUUUUCAG
RNAcentral lists this ribosomal RNA (263 nucleotides) under uncultured archaeon. RNAcentral describes it as "partial 16S ribosomal RNA". It matches the Rfam family "Archaeal small subunit ribosomal RNA", at positions 719 to 982 of the family's 1478-position model. The record is from RNAcentral.